Molecule: non-coding RNA, 943 nt
Organism: Prunus mume (Japanese apricot)
Lineage: Eukaryota; Viridiplantae; Streptophyta; Magnoliopsida; Rosales; Rosaceae
Source: RefSeq, a predicted model, not a curated record
AUAAAAUCUAUUCGCGCUCUCCCUUUUUUCCCACUCUUCUCGCUAAAAAUGAAAAUCCCCAGAUCCCUUCAGAUCUCUAUCCCUCGGUGAGAUCGAGUAACGAUGCUUCUUCGGUGUGUGAGAUCAUUGAAUCAAAGAUGAUCUACUCUCACUUUACAACCCUAAUUGCUAACAAGGGGGCUCGGUCCCGUCGCGAGAUCGUGACCGGAACGGCAGCAAGUAAGCGGUGGUUCUGAAUCCUGAUGGCGGCAGCUGAAGGCAAUUUAGGGUUUAUUCUUCGAUUUCAUUUGACUUGAGGGUAAUUAUUUAGGGUGUUUCGAUACUGACGUUUCUUCAACUCGAUGAAUUCCGAUCCUUCCAACCUAGGGUUUGAAUUCUUUGAUCCUUUGACUCGAAGGUAUGGCUGCUUCAUUUCCGCUUCUGAAGCUGCAAGAGAUGGUGGCAUUCUUAUUGGAGCUAUGCAUAAAUCAGAAUGUAAUUAAGGCUGCGAUUCAGCCAGCACAAACUCUCUAGGUUAACAGUUUGGCAUAAAUAGGUUUUUGGACCCAAACAAACUCCUUGGGCUAGCAGUCCUACACGUGAACAUUAUGGAUGACAUGUUACUCUCUUUGGUUAUGAAGGCAGCUGGUUCUGCAUUAACUGGUCUUGUUCAUGAUAGCCUUUCUGAAUCAAAAUGCAGAUUGAAUGUACAAGGAGUUGGGAUUCACAAAUAUGGUUACACGUCGUAGCGGAUAACAAGUAUGCUUGGACUUUUGCCCUUCACACUAUCGAAUUACCUGCCUCCAUCGAAUGUCAGCUCUGAGCGUGUAUGCCCAAUGCAUGAUUAUUCUUUGAUUAAUCGGUCCAAAUGUGUGUUGAAAUUUUGCUAAAAAUAAAUUCAGCACAAACCCAGUAUAAGUAGUCAAAAGUCAUCAUCCCAUACAAUGGGUACAACACUGCAAUU